Long non-coding RNA from Peromyscus eremicus (cactus mouse), 390 nucleotides. RefSeq lists it as uncharacterized. The transcript is spliced from 4 exons. The record is from RefSeq and is a predicted model, not a curated record. Lineage: Eukaryota; Metazoa; Chordata; Mammalia; Rodentia; Cricetidae.
UUUAUUUCUUUCAAUUCUAGGAGCUGAAAUCGCCAUGAUCAUAUCUGGCAACAGCACAGGACGCCUAUGGUUUUGUAACAUGAGAAGAAUUAGCCCUGUCUCUGUGGUAACUGGUGUUGGAGUUAAAUCCACAAAUUAAUUUUCAUCUCAUCGUCUCUCACCUGGCCAUUUUCAAGGAAGCAUUCAUCAAGAAAUACUGACAAGAGAAAACUUCUCCAGUCAACAGGAAUCUUGAACAGCCAUUGAAAGCAGAAACCGAAUGCCUGCUCUUGUCUCUGUCUUCACCGCUGGGACCGAACACAGUGAGGAGGCCACACUGGUAUCAUCGAGGAGGACUUCUGUGUGAAGAGCACGUUUGCCCGUGAUGAGGAGGAAAUGAGAGAGUGGAAA